AAGUUUUAUGCAUGGGGAUAGAUAUGCAUCUAUCUGCAGUCUUCUAUAUGUCAGCCUCCAGUGUUCACCCACUGCAGUGUUGUGCUCAAGAACACAUGGUGGCAUUUUCGUUAGCAGCUCAACCCAGCCAUUCGUCAUUAACUUCCUGCUGUCUUACCGAUACACAGACUGAUAUAUGAUUUGUGCAUCCUCCCACCAUCAUGGAUCUGGAUCCGUGAUGACUACUCAAGAGGUAUCUGCAGACUUAAUUCCUGACUAACAACUUUAAUGACCUAGAAUGCUUCAGAAUCAACACCUGCCACAGACACAGCAUCCUAACAUCCUUUGUAUCCUGUUUCACCAGUUCCCAGCUAUGUUAUCAAGAAAAGGUUAUGAUUUGGUAACGUUUAUACUAGUUCUGAGAGGAGCUGAUGUGUCUGAACUGAGAUGUCUGUUACCAUUUUAUUCCUCCUCUCUCUAUCAUAAAAUAUGUCUUCUGAGAUUAGGUCUUAUGCCAGGGCAUGCUUACUUACUUUCUGAUUUUUUAUGGGAGUAUUUUUCUUUAGUAAUUUUUUAAGAAUACUUACACAUAAGGUCAUGGUUUUUAAAGUGUUCCUUUAAUGCUAAUUAGUUAUAAAUUAUAAUCUUCAUUACUGAUAUCUACUAUUUUUUCAGGAUCUAUACUAAGUACUUAAAAUAAUGGUGUGUAUCACAUUAAAGAAAUACUAUGAAAUAUGUCACCCAAUGAAGUGAUCUGUUGGGACAAUAGAAAAGAUGCCAGAAAGUGUUUGAUUUUGUUGGCUUAAUUGCUUACUCCUGAGCAAGUUCUGCUUCACCUAGCCUUAA
Molecule: long non-coding RNA, 825 nt
Organism: Mesocricetus auratus (golden hamster)
Lineage: Eukaryota; Metazoa; Chordata; Mammalia; Rodentia; Cricetidae
Exons: 4
Source: RefSeq, a predicted model, not a curated record